AGCUCAGUGGCAGAGCACGUGCUUAGCAUGCAGGAGGUCCUGGGUUCAAUCCCCAG
This 56-nucleotide transfer RNA is filed under the name Camelus bactrianus (Bactrian camel). It matches the Rfam family "tRNA", at positions 9 to 63 of the family's 71-position model. Rfam says of the family: Transfer RNA (tRNA) molecules are approximately 80 nucleotides in length. Their secondary structure includes four short double-helical elements and three loops (D, anti-codon, and T loops). RNAcentral also lists the same sequence under 1 other name. The record is from Rfam by way of RNAcentral. Lineage: Eukaryota; Metazoa; Chordata; Mammalia; Artiodactyla; Camelidae.